GACAGAGGUUGCAAGCGUUGUUCGGAAUUACUGGGCAUAAAGCGCACGUAGGCGGUCCGCUAAGUCAUGUGUGAAAUCCCCCGGCUCAACCGGGGAAUGGCGCCUGAUACUGGCGGACUCGAGAUCGGUAGGGGUGAGUGGAACUCCAGGUGGAGCGGUGAAAUGCGUAGAUAUCUGGAGGAACACCGGUGGCGAAAGCGACUCACUGGACCGACACUGACGCUGAGGUGCGAAAGCUAGGGUAGCAAACGGG
This 253-nucleotide ribosomal RNA is filed under the name uncultured bacterium. RNAcentral's name for it is "partial 16S ribosomal RNA". It matches the Rfam family "Bacterial small subunit ribosomal RNA", at positions 524 to 776 of the family's 1533-position model. The record is from RNAcentral.